RNAcentral lists this non-coding RNA (30 nucleotides) under Mus musculus (house mouse). The record is from RNAcentral. Lineage: Eukaryota; Metazoa; Chordata; Mammalia; Rodentia; Muridae.
GAGAAAGACUUGCAAGUUCCAGGGCGAUCU